This is a long non-coding RNA of Neopsephotus bourkii (Bourke's parrot), 2197 nucleotides long. RefSeq lists it as uncharacterized. The record is from RefSeq and is a predicted model, not a curated record. The transcript is spliced from 3 exons. Lineage: Eukaryota; Metazoa; Chordata; Aves; Psittaciformes; Psittacidae.
ACUGCCCCUGAGCCCCGCCGCCGCCGGAGUGGGGGCGGUGGGUGAGGCGGUCGAACUCUUACCGCCCCAAGAGAUGUCUGUUAGGUGCCUACCGGCGUGACACCCGCGCCCCCCUUACAUCUCCCAGCAGGUGAAGGGGAAGAGGAGGGAAAAGGGGCAGUCCACAGAUAAGAAUGAGACUAAGAUGAAAGAGCAUGAACUUCAGUCAUUGAAGACACACAAUGUAUGUCUGCAUGAACAGCUUAUGCGUCUUCCAAAGCUCUAUACCUUAACAUACCUUGCACUGGCAUGUGGAAGUCUUUCACAAGUUGAUUCCUAGACUGUAAGUUCUGAUAAUUUGUAAAUAUGAAAAAAUGUUCAAAAAAUAUGUAGACAUAGAAAAAUGCUCAAAACUAGAGUCCUGGGAUGCUCCAUUAUAUGCUUGAAAAUAUAGCCAGGACGCUGGUCCUCCUUGCAGGGACAAAUCCUACAUUUGCUGCAUUCAGAGAACCUCAGCCUCAGAAGCCAAUUUAUGUAACCAAACUGUUCCACUAGCUGCACAGGGGGGGAGAAGCAUGACAAGCUGUGAGAUAUAGGUGCAGCCUUGGGAGGCUGAGAACCAGAAGGAUUGUCAGAGCUUGUGGAGCACAUCUGUGUAGAUGUUGCUGCAUCCUGAUACAUGUAUGCUAUGGUUCUUUGGAGCAAUUGGCAGGAAAGUUUGUUCUCUGCCAAAAUCUCUCUUAGCAGAGUCACUACAGCACAUUUCCAAGGCUGAACAGCUUCUCUGGGUCUGGUAUUAACAUUUUGGCAGACAGUCCUUUAUGCUGUUUGUGAGCACUUCUGUUCUGAGGCUGGUAUAUAUAUGUGGUAUAUAUGGCACUGAGACUAAAUUUCUCAUCACUACUUUCCCUUCUGCUGGGAAGUUAACAUAUGCUAUUGCUCAGCAAAGGACAACAUUACAUUGUAGUUCCCUUAUUUAAAACAAUAACAACUGUCUCCUGCACAGAAAACUAAUAGGCCCUGUCCCCAGAUGGUGUAAAUUAGCAUGGCACCACUCAUGUCUGAUUUAUAACAACUGAAGAUCCAGCCUUCCCAAUAUACCACAUGAUUAAGCAUGCACUUCACUAGCCUAGAAAUGUCUUGAGGGCCAUGUAAUUGUGUGGUGAUGAACUAAACUUUUAAUUAAGUUCUCAUUUUGAAUUAGAAUCAAUAAGUCAAUAAAUAGCCUUCACUUGAUUUAGAUGAUAAAUAUGCCAGCUGAGGCUGCACUCUAUGUUCUCCCUACUUUUCAGGCUGUCCUUUCUUCUCCAUAUGUCAGAAUCUAAUGAAGGAGCUCUGAAGUAUGGUCCUAAUAUAUUAUUGUCACACAUGGUGAUAAUACUGGUAGAGUUAGGAGACAGCCAGGUUGCUAUUAUAAAUACAGUUCCCAAGGUUUUAUAGCAUGUGUUUCAAACUGCAGUCAGCAAAGUUGUUUUUACAAGGAGCUGUCAGCCACAGCUUGAAUUUUUGUCAAAAUAAAAUUAAAACUGGAUUUGAUUGAUUCAAUCUGUCAAUUUUUCAGGAAUUCUGAAGCUAUUUUUGUUAACCUCCAGUAUAAUAUGCCUUAGAUUUGAAAAAUGCAGUUUCAUAGCAAGCUUUUAACAUGACUAAUUACUGAUUUUUGUUGGGAGGAGAGAAAGGGCAAAUGGGUUUGUAUGGUGGUAAUGACUCUUAUAUUUUAAGACUGGACAAGACCUUUCUGACCAUCUAGUCUGACCCUUUGAAUAGCUAGGUCACAGAAUUUCACCCGGUAAUUAACACAUCUGUCCCAGUAACUUCCAGGUUGAAUUACAGCAGAUCUUUAGAAAGCUCUUACUUCUCACUGUAGGGAAUGUCACAGGCAAACUAUAUAAUCCAGUACUUGGAAUGGCACAGCAGAAGUUAUCACUUGAGACUUCUACUCUUCACUCUGAUUCUGACUCACUGUGUGGUCUUAGGAAAGCAACUUAAUUUUUCUGAUUUCUCCGUUUUUCCAUCUUCUGCAAUGAGGAAAAUAAUAUUUAGAAGCCUCAGAGAGGGGGUGGUGAGAUGUAACAAGUUAUUUGAGGAAUGCUUUGAACUAUUCAGAUAAAAAAUGCUAUUCUGUAAAAGUAAAGAAAGCCAGUACGAUGUAUUCAAAUUUGAAGAAUGAUUACUUUUCAGAAUGUGCUCUCCCUCUGCAUUUGUGUCAAGUUAGCAG